CAUAGCAUAAAUAAACCCCAUUAACAAUUCAACCAAUGGAAGGUCCUCGCAAGGGUAGUCAGACGUGUACGUGUGUGUGUUUGCGUGGAUGAAUAUCUCAGAACAGAUUCUGUCAGGCUUUAACGGUUUGCUCCGGUCAACGGCGUUAAGUCACAUCAGAUAACCGGUAAAGGUUCAAGACGUCUGAUUAUUACUUUAGAUCUGCUCUCCUGCCUGCCUGCUCUUUCAUCUGGCAACCACAUCAGCUCAGUGAAGUGCUCCAGAGCUUUCUCCAGCACUCAUUCACGUGGAAGUAGUACACACACACCAUGAUAAUUACCAGUCAUGACCGCUCAGCGUCAUGUGUUUUUCUCCCCAAAGCAUGUCCCUCUGUGUUUACUCAGCCAUGUGUGUGGUUUCUGUAACUCAGCCCCGUGUGUAACGUCUCUCAUCGACACGUCGGCGAGUUUUCACUUCGGUUAAUGUUUUCCUACACUACCCACUACGCCAUCCGACCGCCUGCUGAUCGUGGCGCCACCGGGAACAUCUCCUCAUCUCUGUUUAACGAGAGCGGUUGCAGCGGCGCUUUAGUCCUUUCGUAUGUCCAGGUCUCUCUCGCCUCCGCAUCCAAACAGAACUUCGCGGCCGUCGUCCUGUAGAUCUCCGACUAGCCGGGCGGAUUCUCCGCCGUAACUCGGCGAAGCGACAUCGUAUAACCGCGCUGCAUUCUGGGACUCCGAGUCCAGCGUUUGCUUCGCCGUGUUGGAUUUCUUAUUAAUAUUGUGAGUGGGGAAAAUAUCUCUUUUGUUUUCCCAAAUAUUGAGUAUAUUUAUGCAUUGCCUUUCCAUGACCGAUAUUCUGUAAAUGGUGCAGGGGCCAAAGGUCAUUAGGUAACCUGAUGCAGGACGUGCAUGCACCUGUCCAUCGUGACUCCAUGGAUCGUAAAUAAAUUAUUUUAUCAUUCAGGUUGGCGAGUCUCGUGAACUUUGCUCUAAGGCGUUCAGUGUUUUCGGGAAUUUAUGACAGACUUCAAAUAUUUCCCUUUUUUUUUUUUUCUUUUUUUUUUUCCGGUUGUCUAUUUAAAGUAACAUCCAGUGACACGCAAUCACGACAAAACAAACAACCAAAGUGCAGAACGCAUCAGAGGAAGAACAGGGUAUCCGUUAUUCAUUUUUGCUCGUGUUGUACGCUCGCUAUCCAACCAUUUUUUUGCCUUUAUUUUCGUGGCACUCGUCGGUGGAAAUUAUUAGGAGCAAAAUGUCCGUGUGCAGUGAACACGUCGAGAGUGAAGGUGCUGCAGCUGUGUGUCUGAUCUGAUCACGCGAGCCUCGUUCGCAGGAGGAAGAUCUCCUAAUAUUUCUCGAUUUCGUGAACGUAACUGAAUUUGAAUGCGGCCAUCUAGACUGUCUGCCUCACAAAAUGCCUUGAAGCAUCAUCUGUGUGUGUGUGUGCGCGUGUGUGUGUGCGUGACAUAAACACAUACACGAUGGACUUGACUGUUAUAUGAAUAGAUACAGGUAUAACUUAUGAAUGAGAGAGACAGAGAGUGAGUGAGAGAGAGAUACUGAGAGAGAUAGUGUGAGAGCGAGAGAGUGAGAGAGAUAGUGAGUGUGUGUGUGAGAGAGAUAGUGAGUGUGAGAGAGAUAGUGAGAGAGAUAGUGAGAAGAGAUAGUGAGUGUGAGAGAGAGAUAGUGAGUGUGAGAGAGAUAGUGAGAGAGAUAGUGAGUGUGAGAGAGAGAUAGUGAGAGAGAGAUAGUGGUGUGAGAGAGAUAGUGAGUGUGAGAGAGAGAUAGUGAGUGUGAGAGAUAGUGAGAGAGAUAGUGAGUGUGAGAGAGAUAGUGAGAGAGAUAGUGAGUGUGAGAGAGAUAGUGAGAGAGAUAGUGAGUGUGAGAGAGAGAUAGUGAGAGAGAUAGUGAGUGUGAGAGAGAUAGUGAGAGAGAUAGUGAGUGUGAGAGAGAGAUAGUGAGAGAGAGAUAGUGAGUGUGAGAGAGAGAGAUAGUGAGUGUGAGAGAGAGAUAGUGAGUGUGAGAGAGAGAUAGUGAGAGAGAGAGAUAGUGAGUGUGAGAGAGAGAGAUAGUGAGUGAGAGAGAGAUAGUGAGUGUGAGAGAGAGAUAGUGAGAGAGAGAGAUAGUGAGUAAGAGAGAGAUAGUGAGAGAGAGAUAGUGAGUGUGAGAGAGAUAGUGAGUGUGAGAGAGAGAGAUAGUGAG
This is a long non-coding RNA of Ictalurus punctatus (channel catfish), 2186 nucleotides long. The record is from Ensembl. Lineage: Eukaryota; Metazoa; Chordata; Actinopteri; Siluriformes; Ictaluridae.